UCACGUGACCUACGUUCGUCCCGACGACAUGACCGUUCGAGUUCGUCAAAUCAAACGAAGUGGUGAGGAAAGUGCUAUAACGGAUCAUCUGAUGACAUGUCUGCCGUGAUAUUUUAACACUCAUCUUCUUCAUCUGUGAUAUACUGUUGAUGUCAAGGUGUUAUCAGCACAAUAUGAUGUUCAGCAAGCACAAAAGAGAGGCGAAGGAGCACUACCGGAGGAGGAGGAGGAGGAGGAGGAGGGCACACCGCGGCAAGCACUGAAACACCUCCCAAUCCACCCUCCGUACAUCUGACCAACCAGCGCUGCUCCCUGUGAUGAUGACUGACAGGUGGACUCCGCCUACCCUUCCCUCAUCCGUCUCACCAUCCGCCGUCUCGCGCUGAGUGUUUGGAGUCCCUACAACAUCACCGAUAGAAGGCCUUAUGAUGCAGGUGCAAAAGUCCAGCCAGGUGUCUUCACCCAAUAAGUGGCUCAUAAGACAACACGAAAGCUAUUGGUGACUGCUUGUGGAAAGACAGCGAACUUCUGGCCUUGGCAGAAUCAGAAACAAAAUAGAAUAACAGAAUGAAAAAGUUGUCUACUUGUCUGGCAUAACAACAACGUCUACAAGUUUCCAGCUGAUUGUUAUGAAGAACUGAAUUCAACUGAGUGUAUUUAUGGUUUUUGGAAGAUGAAGGUCAAGCAAGACAGAAGAAGUCAAGAAGUGCUAACGACUGUGAAAAAAGUUGUCGACUCUGAAACAUAUUAGGACUGAUAAGAUCUCGGAUUCUGUCUUGUUUAAAAAUAUAUAAUUUCUGUGCCCAUCAUAUACGGAAUCCGGUUUUAAACUCACUUCACUAUAAGUCAAACUCAAAAAUAUUAAAAAUAUAUUUUAACAAA
Molecule: long non-coding RNA, 882 nt
Filed under: Pomacea canaliculata
Lineage: Eukaryota; Metazoa; Mollusca; Gastropoda; Architaenioglossa; Ampullariidae
Description: uncharacterized LOC112566545, transcript variant X3
Source: RNAcentral